This 498-nucleotide ribosomal RNA is filed under the name uncultured bacterium. RNAcentral describes it as "partial 16S ribosomal RNA". It matches the Rfam family "Bacterial small subunit ribosomal RNA", at positions 28 to 508 of the family's 1533-position model. The record is from RNAcentral.
GAUGAACGCUGGCGGCGUGCCUAAUACAUGCAAGUCGAGCGAACAGAUGAGGAGCUUGCUCCUCUGACGUUAGCGGCGGACGGGUGAGUAACACGUGGAUAACCUACCUAUAAGACUGGGAUAACUUCGGGAAACCGGAGCUAAUACCGGAUAAUAUAUUGAACCGCAUGGUUCAAUAGUGAAAGACGGUUUUGCUGUCACUUAUAGAUGGAUCCGCGCCGCAUUAGCUAGUUGGUAAGGUAACGGCUUACCAAGGCAACGAUGCGUAGCCGACCUGAGAGGGUGGUCGGCCACCCUGGAACUGAGACACGGUCCAGACUCCUACGGGAGGCAGCAGUAGGGAAUCUUCCGCAAUGGGCGAAAGCCUGACGGAGCAACGCCGCGUGAGUGAUGAAGGUCUUCGGAUCGUAAAACUCUGUUAUUAGGGAAGAACAAAUGUGUAAGUAACGAUGCACGUCUUGACGGUACCUAAUCAGAAAGCCACGGCUAACUACGUGC